UCGUGCACAUGGGCCAGGCCCAAUGAAACCUGCGGUACACUGCUGGCUCUCGAUUCCCUUUGAUUUGUUCCCGAGCGCCGCCCUCCCUCCUCACCCGAUCUCCCAUCGCCGUCGUCACCCAAGAUCACCACGCCUCCGCCUGGUCCGCCGACCGCCAGGCCCCCUCUCACGUACGACCUCGCGGCGUCGCAGACCGCUCCAUCUCCCUUACCGCACCGCCAAGCAUACCUGGAAUUAGCUGAUGCGGCCUUCUUCAUUCAUGUAUGGGGGGAUCCCCCUUGAUCCCGGUGGCAUGGCCAGAGACGAAGGAAACCCUCAGUCUCGCCCGCGUCGCUGCCCGACUUGGGGGCCAGAUCGUCGGUUGCGGGACUUAGGACGGGCGAUGACAUCUUCACCGUCGGGAUCUCGCCCGCCUGUUGAAUGUUGAUGUCCCGGCUUCACGUGAUCGGCAGAGCUGUCCGGGUUCACCACGGGCCGUGAAAGUCAAUCGGCGCCUUUGUGCGUGCAGGGCUCAUCAUGAGCGCAGAUGUAUAAGUGCCAAUGGCAUCAAGUUCCCUCAGGCUCCAUCUCUCCUACUAGGUAAGAGCAUGUGCGAUAGAGGCUCCGGAGGUCCUCUUCAUGUCCAGUGAUUCUUCGACAAGGAUGGCACGCCACGGGGCUGCACCGGAUCCCCGGCAGAGGCUCUGGAGCUCCUCUGCAUGUCUAGGAACAUCUCGCUCUACUUCACCACCGCUGGUCACAGCACGCGUUCCAAGUGAAUGGCAAAUGCCAGAGUUUCUGUACAUGUAAUUUUGUAUUACCAUUGAAUUGGUAGAAGCAACUUACAUGUGAUUUUUUUAUAUGAUCAGGUAGCUGGUUCGAAAGGUGUAUACAUGUGCAAAUCCAAUUUUCUGUUUCAAAUCAAUUAUUAACACUCUGAUAAUGGAAGAUUGGAACUAUGCAAAUCCAAAGAAAGAUUUGUGCAAAUCCAAUGAAAUAUUGUUUAUCUUCUCGCUCAUGAGGUUACACUCUGAUAAUGGAAGAUUGGGUUUGUGCGAAUCCAAUAUCUUUUUGUUUGAAAGCAAUUAUUAACAGUGAUUAAUUCCACAAUAUUUGUACGAACAAUUAUAUUUUUGUCAGAAUCCGGUUUCUGGUAAUUCUUAACACUACAUGUUAAUAUGUCACAUCUUCCAUUAAUUCUCAUGUUUGUAGGAGCCAUGGUUGUAUAAUAUGUACUGUACCAUUCACAGGUAGCCGAAGAAUAAGAUUGGAAGUGUAUCUUGUCAAAUUGUGUUUUAAAGCAUUUGAGGACUACAAUGGUGGCCCUGUUCAAUUUCUUCAUAAUUUUUUGUAUUGGUGACAAAGAUGGAAUUUCCCUUGAACUGAAUUCUCAUCUGAACUUGUGCCAAUGAAAUGAGGGUUUUAAUAUUUUUAAUAGAGCAAUUGAGCAAUGGUAAGAGAAGGGAAGGUGAUAGGAAGGGAAAAGGCAGGAUGAGCGAUCUGCAAGCACCAAGGAGAAGGGAAGGCGAUAGGAAAGGAAAAUGCAGGAUGAGCUUUUUUGCAUUAGCUCGUAUUUCCAUUCCUUAUAAAAUUGAUGCAUCAAAGAAAUCUUGAAGAUCGGUUUACUCGAUGAGAUUCCCAAGUCUUUGGAAUAAUUAGAAAUUUCUUGGCAGAUCUCGUUUAUUUUUCCCCGAGAUUUUGCAGCCAUUUUCAUGUUUAGUGAGUCUGUUCUUAACUUCUUACUUUUCUUUUUCUGGUAGUUUUCACAUAGAGCAUAAUAAUCUUGAAACCAACCG
Long non-coding RNA from Lolium perenne, 1775 nucleotides. RefSeq lists it as uncharacterized. NCBI's taxonomy places the organism in Eukaryota, Viridiplantae, Streptophyta, Magnoliopsida, Poales, Poaceae. The record is from RefSeq and is a predicted model, not a curated record.